GAUCCUCUUCUGCUCACAGUUGUAUUCUUCAGGAUCUGCAGAGAGACAUAUAUAUAUAUAUAUAUAUAGUCGAUCAGCAGAUUGCUGUUGGCAUUAUAUGGCAUAAAAGACUAUUUCUGGUCACAACCAUAGGAGCAAAGACGGUGAAGGAUGGUAUCAAGUUGAUAUUACUGGUGGCCGAUCGAAGUACGAAAUAUAAGCAAGCAAUUAACUCGAUUCAAGUGAUGUCCAAGAUCGAAGAUGGACACAGACGCUGAUACCGAUGCGUAGAUAAGAGUCAUACUUGUCUCAGCAUGUUGUUCUCGUUCUGCAAUGUGGACAUCCUCUCCUCCAGCUCCGAGUUCUUGGCCUCCAAAUCCUUCACCUUGGCCUCCAGAUCAUUCAGAUAAGCUUUCUUCCGCUCCCUUGCCUGCUGAGCCGAUACUCUAUUCCUCAGCAACCUUUCUCGGACAUAUAUAACCAAAUAGCUCAUCAGAUAAUAGCGGCAGGCAGAACACACACAUCAAGAUUCGCUCAAAAGAAGAUUACAAGAGAUCAUGCGCAU
Molecule: long non-coding RNA, 544 nt
Filed under: Musa acuminata (dwarf banana)
Lineage: Eukaryota; Viridiplantae; Streptophyta; Magnoliopsida; Zingiberales; Musaceae
Description: long non-coding RNA (MACU_LNC002413)
Source: RNAcentral